GACGAACGCUGGCGGCGUGCUUAACACAUGCAAGUCGAACGGAAAGGCCCUGCUUUUGUGGGGUGCUCAAGUGGCGAACGGGUGAGUAACACGUGAGUAACCUGCCCUUGACUUUGGGAUAACUUCAGGAAACUGGGGCUAAUACCGGAUAGGAGCUCCUGCUGCAUGGUGGGGGUUGGAAAGUUUCGGCGGUUGGGGAUGGACUCGCGGCUUAUCAGCUUGUUGGUGGGGUAGUGGCUUACCAAGGCUUUGACGGGUAGCCGGCCUGAGAGGGUGACCGGCCACAUUGGGACUGAGAUACGGCCCAGACUCCUACGGGAGGCAGCAGUGGGGAAUAUUGCACAAUGGGCGGAAGCCUGAUGCAGCAACGCCGCGUGCGGGAUGACGGCCUUCGGGUUGUAAACCGCUUUCGCCUGUGACGAAGCGUGAGUGACGGUAAUGGGUAUAGAAGCACCGGCUAACUACGUG
This 468-nucleotide ribosomal RNA is filed under the name uncultured bacterium. Its description in RNAcentral is "partial 16S ribosomal RNA". It matches the Rfam family "Bacterial small subunit ribosomal RNA", at positions 28 to 507 of the family's 1533-position model. The record is from RNAcentral.